Long non-coding RNA from Cygnus olor (mute swan), 1417 nucleotides. RefSeq lists it as uncharacterized. The record is from RefSeq and is a predicted model, not a curated record. Lineage: Eukaryota; Metazoa; Chordata; Aves; Anseriformes; Anatidae. The transcript is spliced from 3 exons.
CCUGCCCGGCUGGGGACAUGGGGGGGCGCGGGGACGCCCCCAUCCCCGUCCCCAUCCCCGUCCCCAUGCCACCGGCGGGUCGUGCAGGGCUUGGGGAUGCGGACGUGUGCGCGGCUCCGCAGCCCAAUGGGGAGAGCGGGGCGCGGGAGCUGGAGGUAAUUUAUGCUCUGAGCUCACCCCGGGGUUGCGGGCAGCCGUCCCCAGCCGGCGUGGGAGGGAGGCCUCUGCCCAUCGCCCCUCCCGCCCGCGCCACACACAUCCACGCAAUUCCCCUACAAUUAGGAAGACACCUAUUCAGCACCGCUCCUAUUGCCGGGCUUUUGUUCCUUCUCUUCUUCUCUGCUGGCCAAAAGCGCUUCCCCUCCGCACGGCUGCGUUCGGCGCUCGGCGGUUUGUUAACUUGCUUUUCAUGACGCCUCCAAAGAAAGCCGGUCCCGCCGAAGUCCUGAAAUAGAGGGGGAAAAAAAAAAAAAAGGAAAAAAAAAAGAAAGUCUCCUCGGGGGCCCCCACGCCUCUCCUGCUCCGGGUGAUGCCCCAGUUCACCUUCGCGUGCUUCUGCGGGCUCCAUGGCUUCUGCAAGAUGAAGAGGAAGAAGGAGGAAUCCAGCGCGGAGCAGGAGACGGCGGUGUGAGGAGCAGACGGGCCUCGGGACGUGAGAGCUGCUGGGGGGGGGACAUUUGGUGCCCCCUCUCCUCUCGCCUCACCAGGGACCAGCUCCCUUCACGCUGCGGAGAGACCUGCUUGGCCAGGAGAGAGCCGAAGCAGAGGAAUGGCCACACCGAGAGGCACAAGGAGGCGUUGUGGACAUUAUCUGGGUGCUGCAGACAUCCUGCACGGACUCCCCAAGCCCUCGGCACCCCAACGGCCACUGUCGGAUGCUGCCUGGGUCCCAGCAGGGCAGAGGAUUCCCCCCUGAGCCCGCUGCCAAGGCACACAGACAGACCCCCAAGGGGUUUUCAGUAGCCAGGGCCAGGCCUUGUCCCUCCCGGAGCCGUAGUGCUGGGAGGCUGGCCUGGGGUGGUAAGUGGUCCUGCUGCUGCAGAACAGGCCGAACUAAAAACAAGCUGUACUUUCAAUUAUUAUUUUUUUUUAAGCAUCUCUCGAGAAAAUGCCUGGGACUGCAAGAAGCCAUUCUCCACUCUUUGGCUGUGCCUGGCCCCACAGCUGCAGCACACCGAAGCAUUUCGGGGACACCAAAUGCACCAACCAGCUUGGACACAGCUCCCAUGGGACCAGGGCGGAGGGGACACGGCAGUGGUGACACCUGCCCGCAGGCACCUGAGCAAUGUGGCUCAGCGGGGGAUUGAUCUUGGUUGGCAAAUGGGCCAGCAGCCCCGAGCUCGGGGCACUGGAUUCUUGCUCCAGGGACACUUCUAGCACAAACCUGUCCUCCAGAGCAGAAACCCUUAAACUCUUC